Long non-coding RNA from Clupea harengus (Atlantic herring), 934 nucleotides. RefSeq lists it as uncharacterized. NCBI's taxonomy places the organism in Eukaryota, Metazoa, Chordata, Actinopteri, Clupeiformes, Clupeidae. The transcript is spliced from 3 exons. The record is from RefSeq and is a predicted model, not a curated record.
GGGGAGGUGCUGUCAGACCCAGUUUUCUCAUUUAAUAAUCUCCCGCGGGUUCAUGCAUAGUGGAGCGAAUCUGUGCGGGUUACAGGUGCUCCGCGUGGACCUUUAGCGCCUGCGGGGAAGCGCGAGGGCAGACUUAAUCAGCGGAUAGGAUCGAUCGCACACUAGGUGUAUGCCGGGAUUCUUUGAUGGUUCACGGAUCCAAGAUUUACCCCGGCACUGCUUUCCAAUAAUCAGUUAUACAGUUUGAGUCUUCAAAACCUAACGGUGGACCACGCGAAACACGGUACAGAAGAGCUGUGAAACACAGGAAUUCGCGCGCGGGAUGUGACCGACUGGGUUUUAUAUAAGCUGCUACCUGCGCGUGUGGGUGCCUAGUGGGCUGGACUGUUCCGGAGGUCGUACUCCUGCGCUGGCGCGUGCCUGACGUGUACAGUGCCUUCUUGUUUGUCUCGGUCCGCUGCGCUGGAGCACUCAGCCGUUGACAUUGCUCAGAUAUGUCGGGGUCCGGCGCGAGAAACUGGAUCUGUUAACAAUCAUCACCUUUUCCCCUGUCACCUAAAUCUGCAUGUAUCAGGACGAGAACAAGCCAUCGGUACAACUGACAGCCACGCGGCGAGUUGACGCCUCAGCAAACUCCCAUUUGAACGGAUUACAGGUGCGCUAGCCAACAAACUCCUGCGGAUGACCACAGUCAGGGAUCCGCUGAGAAGGCUGCGCAAGGAGGCAUCUUAAGUCGAGAUGAAGUCUUCAGCAGUAGUAGGUGACACUGGUCUCUUCACAGAGAGCUACUGUAACAUCUGUAACGCACAACUUAUCUCAGAUUCUCAACGCGUUGCACACUACGAGAGUAAGAAGCAUGCCAACAAAGUGCGUCUCUUCUAUAUGCUGCACCCAGAAGAUGGAGGCCCCCCCUCGAAACGCCUCAGACCAGACA